This 203-nucleotide ribosomal RNA is filed under the name uncultured fungus. RNAcentral's name for it is "partial small subunit ribosomal RNA". The stretch from base 79 to 203 matches the Rfam family "Eukaryotic small subunit ribosomal RNA", at positions 742 to 864 of the family's 1831-position model. Lineage: Eukaryota; Fungi. The record is from RNAcentral.
GAAUGUCAUUGAUCAAAGCUCGUCCUUGUGGCGUGGCUCGGUUGAUGCUUCCUAUCUUUCUGUAGGGGGGCAACUCUCUCAGAAUCAUUUACUUUGAAAAAAUUAGAGUGUUCAAAGCAGGCGUACCUUGCCAUUGAAUAUUACAGCAUGGGAUAAUAGAAUAUGACGUUGGUCUUAUUUUGUUGGUUUCUAAGGCUGAUGUA